UCUUAGCCCUGAUUGCAGCGGCAUCCUUUUGUGUGAUUGCGAUGGCAGAACAGCGAAAAUGGUAAAUUAACGUUGUCCGCAAUCACAAAAAAGAUAUAGCGAAAGCAGGUAGAAAA
This 116-nucleotide small RNA is filed under the name Chryseobacterium sp. Leaf180. RNAcentral's name for it is "Flavo-1 RNA". It matches the Rfam family "Flavo-1 RNA". The record is from Rfam by way of RNAcentral. Lineage: Bacteria; Pseudomonadati; Bacteroidota; Flavobacteriia; Flavobacteriales; Weeksellaceae.